AUAUAUUCUAUCGAUAUGAAUUCUGAGGUUGGAUUUGAUUACUAUUCUAGGCGGCGAUCGUCGUGACGCCUUGAUGUGUGGUGCUAGGGAGUUGUUGGACGAACUCCAGGUGAGUGGGCAGUUUUGUUUUCCGUAUAUAUAUAUAUAUAUACUUAACGUUUUCCCAGAAAUUGAAAAUGCAUGAAAUUAUGUUUAAAAUGAAAUGCAUAUGAGUUAUGUGGAAAAACGGGAAGUGAAAUACCAUGCAUAGAAUUGAUAUGAAAAGUAUAUAGAAAUGUGAGUUGAAAUGCCAUGCAUGAAUUAAUAUAUGAUGCAUAUGUAUGAAUUGGUGCGGUGGACGCACAGGUAAGAAUUGAUUUAUGAUGCAUAUGUAUGAAUUGGUGCGGUGGACGCACAUGUAAGAAUUGAUUUAUGAUGCAUAUGUAUGAAAUGGUGCGGUGGACGCACAGAUGAGUAUUUAAUUACUGUUAUGAUGAUGAUGAUAUAUAUUGAGCUCAAAUCCUGCACCAUGGUUUAGUGCUUAUAGUAUUCACCGCAUCGCACGCUCGCCUUGGAUCCAAGUAGAUGCUAGUCGUACAGUCCACGCGGAGUGGGUACGACAGACCAGUCGCGAGAGUGUUAGUGAGAUUCCGACUGGUGGGUGACCUUAGAUUAUGUGCACAGAUGAUUUAUGAGAAGCACUAGAGCGUAACUUGCGUGCAGAAGGCCGGACGGGUCACAGAGGUGACUCCGGUAGAGAGUGAUAAUGAUAGAUUUUGAGCUCUAGGUUCAACCGUAUAGGGCUAUUAGAGGGCCUACGGUUGAUUACUUUCUUGCACCUGAUAUGAUUAUGUUGAUGCAUUCAUACCUUAUUACUGUUGAGAUGAUGUGGCAUGGCAUAAUUAAUAUGAGAAAUGUUGAGAUGACAUGGCAUGGCAUGAUUGAUAAAGAGAUAAUGUUGAGAUAGUAAAAAUGAAGUUUUGAGAAUAUAUAUGUAUAUUUAUAUUUUACAUUUCUGGGAAAGUAUACAGGUUUUACGGAG
This 1021-nucleotide long non-coding RNA is filed under the name Malus domestica (apple). RNAcentral's name for it is "long non-coding RNA (MDOM_LNC000188)". Lineage: Eukaryota; Viridiplantae; Streptophyta; Magnoliopsida; Rosales; Rosaceae. The record is from RNAcentral.